AGCGGUAAAGCCCACCCCACCACUUCCGUUGUGCUCCUUUAAGUAAAAGCCACAGGCGCUUCUCAGCCUUUCGGCGGCAGCAAGGUCUGUCCUUGCGGAGGACGUCGGAUUUAAUCCUUAAUUUCAGCGCUUCCACACUCCUUAAUCUCCAACCUUCUCAAUAAAAUGAUUUGACAACAG
Molecule: long non-coding RNA, 180 nt
Organism: Ictidomys tridecemlineatus (thirteen-lined ground squirrel)
Lineage: Eukaryota; Metazoa; Chordata; Mammalia; Rodentia; Sciuridae
Source: RefSeq, a predicted model, not a curated record